Molecule: ribosomal RNA, 421 nt
Filed under: uncultured bacterium
Lineage: Bacteria
Description: bacterial SSU rRNA
Rfam family: Bacterial small subunit ribosomal RNA
Source: RNAcentral
AACGAACGCUGGCGGCGCGCCUAAUACAUGCAAGUCGAGCGAGAAGACGUAGCAAUACGUUUGUAAAGCGGCGAACGGGCGAGGAAUACAUGGGUAACCUACCCUCGAGUGGGGAAUAACUAGCCGAAAGGUUAGCUAAUACCGCGUACGCUCCUUGGACUUCGGUUCAGGGAGGAAAGCGAUACCGUGGGUAUCGCGCUCUUGGAUGGGCUCAUGUCCUAUCAGCUUGUUGGUGAGGUAACGGCUCACCAAGGCUUCGACGGGUAGCUGGUCUGAGAGGACGAUCAGCCACACUGGCACUGCGACACGGGCCAGACUCCUACGGGAGGCAGCAGUAAGGAAUAUUGCGCAAUGGGCGAAAGCCUGACGCAGCGACGCCGCGUGGGGGAUGAAGGUCUUCGGAUUGUAAACCCCUUUCGGG